This 207-nucleotide ribosomal RNA is filed under the name uncultured bacterium. RNAcentral's name for it is "partial 16S ribosomal RNA". It matches the Rfam family "Bacterial small subunit ribosomal RNA", at positions 568 to 774 of the family's 1533-position model. The record is from RNAcentral.
UGCGUGGGCGGCUUUUUAAGUCGGAUGUGAAAUCCCUGAGCUUAACUUAGGAAUUGCAUUCGAUACUGGGAAGCUAGAGUAUGGGAGAGGAUGGUAGAAUUCCAGGUGUAGCGGUGAAAUGCGUAGAGAUCUGGAGGAAUACCGAUGGCGAAGGCAGCCAUCUGGCCUAAUACUGACGCUGAGGUACGAAAGCAGUGGGAGCAAACA